This 1339-nucleotide long non-coding RNA is filed under the name Olea europaea subsp. europaea. The record is from RNAcentral. Lineage: Eukaryota; Viridiplantae; Streptophyta; Magnoliopsida; Lamiales; Oleaceae.
CUUGAGUUCACUCCAUGCUUCUUGAUGAGUCAUUUUGCACACUUUGGUGGGACAACUAUUCAACAAAUGCACAGCACGCUAAGCAAUUUUAGUCAAAACUUUUUUGGCAUCUUCUUAGUUUUCAGCAUACUUCAAGUCAUUUUCAUUAUUGUCAUAUUCUUUUCUCUGCUUCAAGUCAUUUUCAUUAUUGUCAUAUUCUUUUCUCUGCUACGCCAUUUGUUUAGAAGACAAGUGAACACAAAAAAAAAAAUGAUAAAAUGCCAUGAUCUUAACAAAAAUUCUUGAAUGUGUUGCUAACAUAAUCACCACCAUGAUUUGAGCAUAAGUUUUUGAUCUUGUGACUACUUUGAUUAUUCACCAUUGCCUUGAAAUUCUUGUAAGCUUCAAUUGGAUCAGACUUUUCUAUAAGAAAAUCACCUAAUAUUUUACGAGAAAAGUCAUGAAUAAAUGAAAUGAAGUAAUUACUUUUAUCAAAUUAUGCAGGCUGGAGCGAUCCAUAGAGAUCCAUAUGUACUAAUUUAGUAGUCUUGAUGCUCGAAAACUUGCUUCUUUCGGGAAAGUUUUCUGAUUUCUUUUCACAGGCUCUUCGCAAAGUCGAUUUGGAUGAUAAAUAUGUUAUGGCCCCUUCACCAUAUUUCACUUUGUAAAGAUUUAGACCGUCAAAAUUUAAAUUGCCAAGUCUCAAAUGUAAUAGACAUGUUGAAUCUUUCACCUGUGCCUGCAAACACUCUACUUCUCAACUUUGAAUAUUCACAAGAUUAUCUGUUUCUAUAUGAUUGGAACUCUAUGAAUAAAAAUUGGAUAAAAUUCAAAACAUUUGUCUUCAUAAAAGGAAUAUAGUAAACACUGAAUAUGUAUUGUUCUUCAUUCUUCAUUUGGAUGAGAAUUUUACCUUUGACUUGCACCUUUGAAUCAUUACCAAAUGUGACGUGGUGAGUUAGUUCUUCAAGUUCCAUGAAGAUAGAUUGAUCUCCACACAUAUGAUUACUUGCUUAGGUGUAUAAGUACCAAGAAUUAUUGCCUCCUUUUACCUUGUAUUUUCAAGAGUAAAAUUCAUUUUCGUAUCUUUAUUUUAAUCGUAGGUGGAUUGCUCCCCCACAUUGUUACUUCUGCACUAACAUACAAAAUGACUGAGCUUGUGAACAUUAUAUCAUUCAAUUUGAGAUUUAUCAUAUCUUCAACCAUUAUUCUUUUCUUCCUCUUUUUUGAGAUUGUCUUCCUCACCCUCUUGAAUUAUAUGAAUAUUGGAUUGAUGUUGAGAAUUUCUUUCUCCAAUUCUAUGUCCUCUUCCAUGUUUUCUACCUCUUUGGUUCAUAUUGUUCUUCUUACACGUUCUUUC